RNAcentral lists this ribosomal RNA (266 nucleotides) under uncultured bacterium. Its description in RNAcentral is "partial small subunit ribosomal RNA". It matches the Rfam family "Bacterial small subunit ribosomal RNA", at positions 26 to 284 of the family's 1533-position model. The record is from RNAcentral.
AGGAUGAACGCUGGCGGCGUGCCUAACACAUGCAAGUCGAACGCUCUCCAUUCGGUAGCAAUACCGAUGAAGAGGGAGUGGCGAACGGGUGAGUACCACGUGAGCAACCUGCCCCGAAGACUGGGACAACACCGGGAAACCGGUGCUAAUACCGGAUAUCCCUAUCGGACCGCAUGAUCUGAUAAGGAAAUGGAUUCCGCUUCGGGAGGGGCUCGCGGCCUAUCAGCUAGUUGGUGAGGUAAUAGCUCACCAAGGCAUCGACGGGU